RNAcentral lists this transfer RNA (77 nucleotides) under Candidatus Coprosoma intestinipullorum. RNAcentral's name for it is "tRNA-Ala". It matches the Rfam family "tRNA". From Rfam's summary of the family: Transfer RNA (tRNA) molecules are approximately 80 nucleotides in length. Their secondary structure includes four short double-helical elements and three loops (D, anti-codon, and T loops). The record is from RNAcentral. Lineage: Bacteria; Bacillati; Bacillota.
GGGGAAUUAGCUCAGUUGGCUAGAGCACCUGCUUUGCACGCAGGGGGUCAAGAGUUCGAGUCUCUUAUUCUCCACCA